This 550-nucleotide ribosomal RNA is filed under the name uncultured bacterium. RNAcentral's name for it is "bacterial SSU rRNA". It matches the Rfam family "Bacterial small subunit ribosomal RNA", at positions 355 to 896 of the family's 1533-position model. The record is from RNAcentral.
UAGGGAAUCUUCGGCAAUGGGGGCAACCCUGACCGAGCAACGCCGCGUGAGUGAAGAAGGUUUUCGGAUCGUAAAGCUCUGUUGUUAGAGAAGAAUGAUGGUGGGAGUGGAAAAUCCACCAAGUGACGGUAACUAACCAGAAAGGGACGGCUAACUACGUGCCAGCAGCCGCGGUAAUACGUAGGUCCCGAGCGUUGUCCGGAUUUAUUGGGCGUAAAGCGAGCGCAGGCGGUUUUUUAAGUCUGAAGUUAAAGGCAUUGGCUCAACCAAUGUACGCUUUGGAAACUGGAGAACUUGAGUGCAGAAGGGGAGAGUGGAAUUCCAUGUGUAGCGGUGAAAUGCGUAGAUAUAUGGAGGAACACCGGUGGCGAAAGCGGCUCUCUGGUCUGUAACUGACGCUGAGGCUCGAAAGCGUGGGGAGCAAACAGGAUUAGAUACCCUGGUAGUCCACGCCGUAAACGAUGAGUGCUAGGUGUUAGGCCCUUUCCGGGGCUUAGUGCCGGAGCUAACGCAUUAAGCACUCCGCCUGGGGAGUACGACCGCAAGGUUG